CCUACGGGAGGCAGCAGUAAGGAAUAUUGGUCAAUGGACGCAAGUCUGAACCAGCCAUGCCGCGUGAAGGAUUAAGGUCCUCUGGAUUGUAAACUUCUUUUAUCUGGGACGAAAAAAGGCGAUUCUUCGUCACUUGACGGUACCAGAUGAAUAAGCACCGGCUAACUCCGUGCCAGCAGCCGCGGUAAUACGGAGGGUGCAAGCGUUAUCCGGAUUCACUGGGUUUAAAGGGUGCGUAGGCGGGCAGGUAAGUCAGUGGUGAAAUCCUAGAGCUUAACUCUAGAACUGCCAUUGAUACUAUCUGUCUUGAAUAUUGUGGAGGUAAGCGGAAUAUGUCAUGUAGCGGUGAAAUGCUUAGAUAUGACAUAGAACACCUAUUGCGAAGGCAGCUUACUACGCAUAUAUUGACGCUGAGGCACGAAAGCGUGGGGAUCAAACAGGAUUAGAUACCCUGGUAGUCCACGCCCUAAACGAUGAUUACUCGACAUUUGUGAUACACUAUAAGUGUCUGAGCGAAAGCAUUAAGUAAUCCACCUUGGGAAGUACGACCGCAAGGUUGAACGUUCAAAGAGUUAGUUGCGGNGNGAGAGCGACGGACGACGACGACGGAGGAGGAG
This 617-nucleotide ribosomal RNA is filed under the name uncultured bacterium. RNAcentral describes it as "bacterial SSU rRNA". It matches the Rfam family "Bacterial small subunit ribosomal RNA", at positions 338 to 956 of the family's 1533-position model. The record is from RNAcentral.